Molecule: long non-coding RNA, 1907 nt
Organism: Pseudopipra pipra
Lineage: Eukaryota; Metazoa; Chordata; Aves; Passeriformes; Pipridae
Exons: 3
Source: RefSeq, a predicted model, not a curated record
GCUCUGGAGGUGCGGGUUGCCUGCUGUCGGGUCUGCCGUGUUGGGGAGUGAGGCCUGGUGAGGCCUUGUCAACCUUGGGAGGUGGAGGUUGCCAGCAGUCGUUCCAGCGCGAUUUCUGUUGUCCCAAGAAGAGUAGUAAGAUAUUCUUGUGCUAAUUCUUUAGUUGCUAGAUCUUGGGUUAUUGAUCGUGUAUAUUUUAUUUUGUUUUGUGUUCCCUUUUUCCUUCCCCCCUUCCCUUUCCCUUUUUCCUUGGAAUUGUACAUAGUAUUUCAACUGUAUAUAGCUGUAUAUAACGUAAAUACAUUUAUUUUCAUAUAAGUUUGGCUAGUCUGGAUUUUUCAGAGUUUUUUUCCUUAGCUCUUUGCCAGAGGUAUCUUUUUGUGUUGGGUCUGGGGAUUUGGUGGGGAGCCAAGUAAAACUUAGACAAGGUGGGCCAGAAAGUAUGUAAGGCAGUAAGACCAGUCUGGGCUCACUGCCAAGGGACCAUGCAGCUGCGGGCAGGGAAACAACUUGAUAGGUUCGUUAAAAUAACCAAUGGACUGCAAGAAGAAGACUAUAUUACCUUUUAAGGAAGAAAAGAGUGAGGCUUGGCAUAGGAGGAGUGAGGGAGUGGUUAUGUAAAUCAAAGGGUCUUAAAAGGGCUCGCCUCUCCCAUUCGGUGUGUGCUCAGACCUGGUCAAGAGUCCAGUGCACCCAGCACGCUGUUAAUGAAGUUCUUUGUUUCAAUUUAUUUGGCCAUCUCCAAAAUUUUUAUCAGAGAUACUUCUCACACUGCUUUCUGUCAAGAGCAAUCAUAUCUGGUUUUCAUACACAUACUGGCAGUAAUUAGACAUGCACAGGCCAGUUCUGACUAUGUAUUAUAAACAUGAAGCACAAAAGAAGAGAGCAAGUAUUUAGGAGAUUGAAAGCAUUUGUUGUCUUGUUUUCUGUAAUUAACCAUGAUUGUAGAACAAAACAGCUACAAAGAAAUAAAUGUUCUGGCAAACAGAAGUACAGGUCAUUAUUCCUAAUCCUCAAUAAUUGCAGCUAAUGUUCAAACUGAGCAAGACAAUUAUGCAUAUCUUAAGCAUGUUUAGAUUUAGAGGAACUCUGGGGAGUUAGAGUUGAAGAUAGGAGAGUACAUGGUCUACAGAAAACUGAGUUACUGAGGAAUUAAGUAUAAGCCAGGACUUCCUUUCAGUGCUGUAGGUACAACAGAAGCUCAUUGCUACCAAAGCAAGACGUGCCAGAAGCAACCCUGAUUAGAGCAGAAGAGAGAGUCUGCUCAGGGAAGGAAAGUGGGCUGAAAGCUGCUGCUAUCAAAGGUAAAUGAGAGAUUCCAGUCCUCUCUGCUGAAGAGUUGGUUCCACCUCACCUCUCCUACCCACAAAGGAUCCUAACCUUUUCUCACAUUUGGAAGAAAAUAUACAGAAAGCAAGUAGCCCUUCAAGACAACAUUUCAGUCAUGCAAGCUAUCCCACUGCAGAGGGCAUGGAUGAAGAGAGAGAGAAGUUUAUGAGAUGGAAGAAGUAGCUGCGAGAGGUUAUAGCUGAGGCAGCAACAGAGGAGGACGUGCUUUGAAGACAUUCAGCACUGUUUCAUGAGAACAAAGACUGUUGACUUAAUGGAGACUGAUUCAAGUUGUUAAUACAAGCUAAAUGUUUAUCAUACCCCAGUUCAUACCAAAUGUUAUAAUACUUUUCCCCUCACAUUUAUCCCCUAUUUUUUUAUUGGUUGUAAUUUGCUGCAUUGCAGAUACUCCCCUCAUUGGCUCUCGCUAACCCUUCGUUCCCUCCUUCCUAAUUGGCUGUUGUUCCUGCCUGUCCCAUUCUCCUCCCCAGUCUCUAGAACCUUCCUAUGUGACCCUAUAAAUAGAGCUAGCCCCCAGAAUAAAGGUGUGAUAGCUUUGAGCUACCACUCUGUUCAAA